RNAcentral lists this ribosomal RNA (441 nucleotides) under uncultured bacterium. RNAcentral describes it as "partial 16S ribosomal RNA". It matches the Rfam family "Bacterial small subunit ribosomal RNA", at positions 338 to 795 of the family's 1533-position model. The record is from RNAcentral.
CCUACUGAGAGCAGCAGUGGGGGAUAUUGCACAAUGGGGGGAACCCUGAUGCAGCGACGCCGCGUGGGUGAAGGAGUGCUUCGGCACGUAAAGCCCUAUCGGCAGGGAAGAAGCAAGACGGUACCUGACUAAGAAGCCCCGGCUAACUCCGUGCCAGCAGCCGCGGUAAGACGUAGGGGGCGAGCGUUAUCCGGAUUCACUGGGGGUAAAGGGUGCGUAGACGGGCAUGCAAGCCAGGGGUGAAAGCCCGGGGGCCAACCCCGGGACUGCCGUUGAAACUGGAUGGCUGGAGUGCGGGAGGGGCAGGCGGAAUUCCUGGUGUAGCGGUGAAAUGCGUAGAUAUCAGGAGGAACACCAGCGGCGAAGGCGGCCUGCUGGACCGCGACUGACGUUGAGGCUCGAAAGCGUGGGGAGCGAACAGGAUUAGAUACCCGGGUAGUC